Hylaeus volcanicus is the source of this 1450-nucleotide long non-coding RNA. RefSeq lists it as uncharacterized. The transcript has 3 exons. NCBI's taxonomy places the organism in Eukaryota, Metazoa, Arthropoda, Insecta, Hymenoptera, Colletidae. The record is from RefSeq and is a predicted model, not a curated record.
UUUAAAUAAAAAUUGAUAGUUAGUCACUUUGACUAGUUUCACAAAAUAUUUUUAUAUGCAAUAGUUGUACGAUACACAUUUAGUAUAUUUAAUAAACAUUUCACAAAUUUAAAUACAAAGAAAUGGUUACUCACUUUGAUUAAUUUCAACAUGAAAAUGAAUGUUUCAGUACAAAUAUAAAAUCGAUUUAAACGAUAUACAAAAUAAGAAAAAAAUGAAUAAAAUACAGACAGCCUUUUAUAUCGACGAAAAGUUCAUUUAAUUCGCUGUCGAGAGAGUCGAAACGCGCGAGGUUCGCGGAAACUUACGCAAUCGGCGCCGGAGUAAUUUCAAAAGUGUCGAUAAUUGUGAAUGGGAAGGAUGAUAAUUAUUGCUUAUUGAAAGACCGAUUUAUUGCUCCGCUGGCUGCGAUUAAGUAUGAAAAAUCGGCUACGAAAUUUUCGCCUGCUAACCGUGAGAAGCCCGAGGUCUAAUCGCGAGGCAGUAAAUCACGUAACGCGUUUGUACGAGAACGGCGCGAUAGACGCAAUAAACCUCACUGCACAUGUCGCAUUUCUCGUUGAAUUAGUGUUGAAUAACGGUGAACGUUCGGUGAAUACUAAUGAGUACUUCGUAAACAUUGAAUGGGACGCGUUCGUUCACGAACGGCAAUUCACGUAGCGAUGCACGAAACGUAAGGUCGAGAGCGUGGGUUUCUCAGGGCGCAUCGUGUCGUUGCGCCGCAGGAAGAAGGAAGCGCGCGAAGCGAUCCUGGUAUAAACGAGCCUAAGUAACGGUGAGCCAGCGGCGAACGAAAUGAGUGUGCCGGUGAAACUCGAGCGUAGUCUGAGCCGACCUCUGUAAAGGUCGCUCCGCGAUGCUCCUACGAAGAAAGUGAUCCGAUAAAGAGCACCCAGAAGCGACCAGUAAUCAGGAGAUGCGACAGAAAGCAACACGAGCCAAUGCAACAACGAAGAGUAACUAGCUCAUACGAGAGAUGCUCCGAUGAUCGAGCGAAAGUGAAGCCUCAGGCCCAAGGAUUCCCCUCACUUCCUGCGACCCUGCAACAUUAAUAUCCGAGAAACUCGGAUGCAGUGCACAGAGAGACGUGACUCGGUGUCCAAGAAUAUUACCAGUCAUUGGGAUCGAUGAGUCUGGUCGAAUCGCGUCUGCCAUCAAGGAAAUCGAGACUUUUCCUCGCGAAGAAUAGUUACUUUAAUGUCACUUGACCCUAGACUUGACUCGAGAGCUCAAUGCACCUUCGUGGAAUUUGAUCAUCCUUGGAGAUCCAAAGAAAUAAUUGCAAGAAGUUUCGUGAAAUUUUAAUCUGUUUUUUUUUAAGGAUCAAAAGUCAUGUAUUGUAUGAAUGUUUGUUUAAUUUAGGUGCAAUUUAUAUAUAUUCUUUUAAGCAUGGAUUCUAAAUUAUGGCACUUGACGAAAAUACAAUUGUAUCGAUUCUAAUUAAUCAAAA